CAGCAGCCGCGGUAAUACGGAGGGGGCUAGCGUUGUUCGGAAUUACUGGGCGUAAAGCGCACGUAGGCGGCUUGGUAAGUUAGAGGUGAAAGCCCGGAGCUCAACUCCAGAAUUGCCUUUAAGACUGCCGAGCUAGCAGGUGAGAGAGGUAAGUGGAAUUCCGAGUGUAGAGGUGAAAUUCGUAGAUAUUCGGAAGAACACCAGUGGCGAAGGCGGCUUACUGGCUCAUACUGGACGCUGAGGUGCGAAAGCGUGGGGAGCAAACAGGAUUAGAUACCCCCGUAGUCCCUGUCUCUUAUAC
This 301-nucleotide ribosomal RNA is filed under the name uncultured bacterium. RNAcentral's name for it is "partial 16S ribosomal RNA". It matches the Rfam family "Bacterial small subunit ribosomal RNA", at positions 509 to 807 of the family's 1533-position model. The record is from RNAcentral.